AUGGCGUUUGUCAGGUCCGCGGCGCUCAAGGCCGCCGUGGACCUACGCAUCUCCGACGCCAUCCACCGCCACGAAGGUGCCGCCACCUUGUCCGACAUUGCCACCUAG
Molecule: ribosomal RNA, 108 nt
Filed under: Triticum aestivum (bread wheat)
Lineage: Eukaryota; Viridiplantae; Streptophyta; Magnoliopsida; Poales; Poaceae
Description: partial small subunit ribosomal RNA
Source: RNAcentral